This 583-nucleotide ribosomal RNA is filed under the name uncultured Sphingomonadaceae bacterium. RNAcentral's name for it is "bacterial SSU rRNA". It matches the Rfam family "Bacterial small subunit ribosomal RNA", at positions 115 to 733 of the family's 1533-position model. The record is from RNAcentral. Lineage: Bacteria; Pseudomonadati; Pseudomonadota; Alphaproteobacteria; Sphingomonadales; Sphingomonadaceae.
GCGUGGGAAUCUGCCCUCAGGUACGGAAUAACUCAGGGAAACUUGAGCUAAUACCGUAUAAUGACUUCGGUCCAAAGAUUUAUCGCCUGAGGAUGAGCCCGCGUCGGAUUAGCUAGUUGGUGGGGUAAAGGCCUACCAAGGCUACGAUCCGUAGCUGGUCUGAGAGGAUGAUCAGCCACACUGGGACUGAGACACGGCCCAGACUCCUACGGGAGGCAGCAGUGGGGAAUAUUGGACAAUGGGCGAAAGCCUGAUCCAGCAAUGCCGCGUGAGUGAUGAAGGCCUUAGGGUUGUAAAGCUCUUUUACCCGGGAUGAUAAUGACAGUACCGGGAGAAUAAGCCCCGGCUAACUCCGUGCCAGCAGCCGCGGUAAUACGGAGGGGGCUAGCGUUGUUCGGAAUUACUGGGCGUAAAGCGCACGUAGGCGGCUUUGUAAGUUAGAGGUGAAAGCCCGGGGCUCAACUCCGGAAUUGCCUUUAAGACUGCAUCGCUAGAAUUGUGGAGAGGUAAGUGGAAUUCCGAGUGUAGAGGUGAAAUUCGUAGAUAUUCGGGAGAACACCAGUGGCGAAGGCGACUUACUGGA